Molecule: ribosomal RNA, 549 nt
Filed under: uncultured bacterium
Lineage: Bacteria
Description: bacterial SSU rRNA
Rfam family: Bacterial small subunit ribosomal RNA
Source: RNAcentral
UGGGGAAUUUUGGACAAUGGGCGCAAGCCUGAUCCAGCCAUGCCGCGUGUCUGAAGAAGGCCUUCGGGUUGUAAAGGACUUUUGUCAGGGAAGAAAAGGCUGUCGCUAAUACCGACAGUUGAUGACGGUACCUGAAGAAUAAGCACCGGCUAACUACGUGCCAGCAGCCGCGGCAAUACGUAGGGUGCGAGCGUUAAUCGGAAUUACUGGGCGUAAAGCGAGCGCAGACGGUUACUUAAGCAGGAUGUGAAAUCCCCGGGCUCAACCUGGGAACUGCGUUCUGAACUGGGUGACUAGAGUGUGUCAGAGGGAGGUAGAAUUCCACGUGUAGCAGUGAAAUGCGUAGAGAUGUGGAGGAAUACCGAUGGCGAAGGCAGCCUCCUGGGAUAACACUGACGUUCAUGCUCGAAAGCGUGGGUAGCAAACAGGAUUAGAUACCCUGGUAGUUCACGCCCUAAACGAUGUCAAUUAGCUGUUGGGCAACUUGAUUGCUUAGUAGCGUAGCUAACGCGUGAAAUUGUCCGCCUGGGGAGCACGGUCGCAAGAUUA